RNAcentral lists this long non-coding RNA (693 nucleotides) under Homarus americanus (American lobster). Its description in RNAcentral is "uncharacterized LOC121868216". Lineage: Eukaryota; Metazoa; Arthropoda; Malacostraca; Decapoda; Nephropidae. The record is from RNAcentral.
CUCUUGUGUUUUCGAUCCAGUUAUUUACUUCGUUGGAAGACAUAAUACUAUAAGAUGAAGCGAGCUAAAGAAAGUGGUGCUGUGUAUAGAAAAAAGAGAAAGGCAAGAGAGGAAGUAUUAAACAAGAAUAAAGGGGCACUCUUUAAAUACAUCAGUCGUAUAGAAACCAAAUCAUUAUCAAAUUCAAGGGAUUCAAGUUCAACUUCAAGCGAUUCGUCAACUUCAACUCCUUCAAGUGAUGAAGAACAUGAAGAAGAAAAUAUUCCGGGACCAGCUGUGGACAGAGUGGACAUAAAAGAUGUUGGCCUAUGGCCAAGCAAGAUUAGCAAUGACACACGGAUCUUUCUGGUACGUCAAGGUGCGUCUGUGGUUCAAAAUCUAGAUUCUGAUUUUGGUGAAGUAAUUCGUGAAGGUGUGUCAACCAAAGGACAAACUAGAAAACUAACACGCGAAUGGUUUUUUCAAACUCUGCCAAAUGGUGAAAGAAUGUUGAGAUCAUGGAUGGUGUACUCCCCUUCCAAGGAAGCUCUUUACUGCUUUUGUUGCAAACUGUUUAAUUCUGAGGAUGGAUUCAACAUAUGGUGGAAACUGAAUCCUAGAAUAUCCGAGCACGAAUCCAGUGCAGCUCACGUUCGGAAUUUCACACAAUGGAAGGAGUUGGAAAUUAGGAUUGCUCGUGGAGCAACAAUUGAU